CACGGAUCAAUGCAUUAGCGCCCGCUGCUUUGAAUGCCAAACAGGGCUCGGCUGCACCUCCAGCGCCGCUGGGCCGACCGCACGCGGCCACUCUGCCGGCCGCACAACAGAAAACGCCUUCUUCCCCCCGAGCAGCCCGGAAUGACUGCGGCGCUGUCUAAUCGCAGCCCCGGCCGUCCUCCGGCGGCGCCGCACGCCGCCCGCCUGCCGAGGCUCGCUCAAGUUUCUGUCUUAUUACGGCUGGAGGAGGGAGCGGAUUCCCAUGCAGAGCUGGGCUCCUGCUUCCCAUGAGGGCGCUGCUGGAUGUACCCACAGUGAAGCUGGAAGCUGGAAGCUGCAGCGACUAGAACAGGACUGGCCUCUAAUUUACACACAGUGAGGUCAUUUCAGGUUUAGGGGGGAAAAUUAUUGACAAACUAUUUUUAGCCACGUAAAAAUGCUGUUUGUGCUGACAGCACCCAUGGUGUUUGUGGUGACUUUCUCUAAUUAUUUUACCCAGUCUAUAAGACAUGGAUCACGCUUUGCAUCAUUGUUUAUAUGAUGUUAGAGAAACAUGACAUGAGCAGCAAAGACACAGAGUGCAGCCCUUUGGGAGUGACCGUAUAGUUGCUUAGGAGCAACAUAUGGUCUUGGGUUUGUUUUUUUAUUUUGUCAGGCGGCCUCUGAAACUAGCGUCUGUUCUGCAUUGAUCAGCCUUAAUGAUGUUUUCAAAGCCAAGAAGCAGAAAGGAGACAAAGAAAAGAGGGUCAGAUGGCCGUUCUGCAGACUCUAAAGUGAUCUCUGCCUCCACCCACACCCUCACCAAGCAGUGGUUAGGUUGGUUUGUGAACGAUAACAUGAUCUGGACACUAAAGUCUAGUGUUAAUUGACAAAUUAAUGCUGGAGUCUGUUUUAGAUUUUUAUCCAUAGUUCAUCAACAGUUUGAAGAAGGAAGGGAAAUGUUAUGUAACCUAGGUUUUUACCGUAGACCGACCUUUAUUAUAAGGAUAUACAAUAACCUCACACUGUAUUCACAUUUAGAUUAUAGAACCUUUUAGAAUAUACGGGUAUAUAAACAAUGUGGAUAUUAUCCCACAGCACAGUUCCUUCAUCCUCCUACUUCACCAUCUCUCCAUUAUUACAUGCAUGAACACGCACCUUUGAAAGUACACAGGCCGUGCCCUUUCCCCAAAGUUUCACCGAAAACCUAUUAAUUACUGUCACUUGUGACAUUCUCUGUUCUGUUUUAAAUGUAUCAAAAAAUAUCUUCAUAGUUUCUGGCAGACUUCCUAAAAUGCCCAUUAAUAUUAAUUCCAGAGUUAUCUGAACCCCCGCUUCCCUCUUGCAGUGGUAGUUAGUAUUUCCACUGGUGGGGAAAAUAGCUUUUUAAGAUUGCCGUGAUGUGGCAACAAAUCACAUUCUGACAUCACCGCAAAGAGGUCAAAAUCAAUCAGCCGCCCAGUGGCCUUUGACAUUCAAUAAACGUCUGCGGGUAUUUAUAUGCGUCCCUAAC
Molecule: long non-coding RNA, 1492 nt
Filed under: Betta splendens (Siamese fighting fish)
Lineage: Eukaryota; Metazoa; Chordata; Actinopteri; Anabantiformes; Osphronemidae
Description: lncRNA (ENSBSLG00000004022.1)
Source: RNAcentral